UACGUAGGGUGCGAGCGUUGUCCGGAAUUAUUGGGCGUAAAGAGCUCGUAGGCGGUCUGUCGCGUCGGUCGUGAAAACUUGGGGCUUAACCCUGAGCUUGCGGUCGAUACGGGCAUGACUGGAGUUCGGCAGGGGAGACUGGAAUUCCUGGUGUAGCGGUGAAAUGCGCAGAUAUCAGGAGGAACACCGGUGGCGAAGGCGGCAUCCUGGACCGAUAUUGACACUGAUGAGCGAAAGCCAGGGGAGCAAACGGG
This 254-nucleotide ribosomal RNA is filed under the name uncultured bacterium. RNAcentral describes it as "partial 16S ribosomal RNA". It matches the Rfam family "Bacterial small subunit ribosomal RNA", at positions 524 to 776 of the family's 1533-position model. The record is from RNAcentral.